This 76-nucleotide non-coding RNA is filed under the name uncultured Bariatricus sp. RNAcentral's name for it is "Cyclic di-GMP-I riboswitch". It matches the Rfam family "c-di-GMP-I riboswitch aptamer", at positions 8 to 83 of the family's 87-position model. From Rfam's summary of the family: GEMM was predicted in a large-scale screen for bacterial structured RNA regulatory elements. Lineage: Bacteria; Bacillati; Bacillota; Clostridia; Lachnospirales; Lachnospiraceae. The record is from RNAcentral.
AUUGCCAAACCUGCUGAAAGGCAGGGACGGAAAGCUAAGCGUCUAAGCAAGAAAUGAUGUAUGAUAGGCUGGCUGC